Molecule: transfer RNA, 71 nt
Filed under: Rhipicephalus microplus (southern cattle tick)
Lineage: Eukaryota; Metazoa; Arthropoda; Arachnida; Ixodida; Ixodidae
Description: tRNA-Asp
Rfam family: tRNA
About the family: Transfer RNA (tRNA) molecules are approximately 80 nucleotides in length. Their secondary structure includes four short double-helical elements and three loops (D, anti-codon, and T loops).
Source: Rfam by way of RNAcentral
UCGUCGGUGGCUCAGUGGUAGAAUACUCGCCUGUCACGCGGGUGACCCGGGUUCGAUUUCCGGCCGACGCA